Molecule: ribosomal RNA, 223 nt
Filed under: uncultured bacterium
Lineage: Bacteria
Description: partial 16S ribosomal RNA
Rfam family: Bacterial small subunit ribosomal RNA
Source: RNAcentral
UACGAAGGGGACUAGCGUUGUCCGGAAUUAUUGGGCGUAAAGAGCUCGUAGGCGGUCUGUCGCGUCUGCUGUGAAAACUCAGGGCUUAACCCUGAGCUUGCAGUGGGUACGGGCAGACUAGAGUGCGGUAGGGGAGACUGGAAUUCCUGGUGUAGCGGUGAAAUGCGCAGAUAUCAGGAGGAACACCGGUGGCGAAGGCGGGUCUCUGGGCCGUAACUGGACG